This 72-nucleotide transfer RNA is filed under the name Ovis aries (sheep). It matches the Rfam family "tRNA". From Rfam's summary of the family: Transfer RNA (tRNA) molecules are approximately 80 nucleotides in length. The record is from Rfam by way of RNAcentral. Lineage: Eukaryota; Metazoa; Chordata; Mammalia; Artiodactyla; Bovidae.
UCCCAGGUGGCUCAUUGGUAAAGAGUGUGCCUGCCAAUGCAGGAGACCCAGGUUCAAUUCCUGGUUCAGGAA